RNAcentral lists this ribosomal RNA (494 nucleotides) under uncultured bacterium. RNAcentral describes it as "partial 16S ribosomal RNA". It matches the Rfam family "Bacterial small subunit ribosomal RNA", at positions 28 to 507 of the family's 1533-position model. The record is from RNAcentral.
GACGAACGCUGGCGGCGUGCUUAACACAUGCAAGUCGAACGGAAAGGCCUGCUUUCCCUUGUGGAUUGCGGGUACUCGAGUGGCGAACGGGUGAGUAACACGUGAGUGAUCUGCCCCCAACUUGGGUAUAAGCCUGGGAAACUGGGUCUAAUUCCCGAUAGGACUGCAGGGUGGUGCCUGUGGUGGAAAACGAUGUUCUAGUGGUUGGGGAUGAGCUCGCGGCCUAUCAGCUUGUUGGUGGGGUAAUGGCCUACCAAGGCGGCGACGGGUAGCCGGUCUGAGAGGGUGGACGGCCACAUUGGGACUGAGAUACGGCCCAGACUCCUACGGGAGGCAGCAGUGGGGAAUAUUGCACAAUGGGCGGAAGCCUGAUGCAGCGACGCCGCGUGGGGGAUGACGGCCUUCGGGUUGUAAACUCCUUUCGACCGCGAGGAAGCCACCUGGUUGGAAGGGUGGUGACGGUAGUGGUAGAAGAAGCACCGGCUAACUACGUG